This is an RNA transcript of Glycine soja, 928 nucleotides long. It is a transcript of the gene named extradiol ring-cleavage dioxygenase-like, with no coding region annotated. NCBI's taxonomy places the organism in Eukaryota, Viridiplantae, Streptophyta, Magnoliopsida, Fabales, Fabaceae. The transcript is spliced from 3 exons. The record is from RefSeq and is a predicted model, not a curated record.
AUGAGAGAGAAUAUCAACAAAGAAAAUAAAAUUCAGUGUUCGAUAGACAUGAUGUUAAAGAACACGUUAUACAUAUCUCAUGGAUCACCCACUUUGUCCAUAGAUGAAUACAUAGAUGCUAGGAAAUUCCUUCAGUCAUGGAAGAAAGACGUGUUUCCUCAAAACCCAUUUCAAUACUUGUCAUCUCUGCUCACUGUGACACUGCAGUUCCAUCCAUCAACGUUGUUGACUCCGUCAACCACACCAUCUAUGAUUUCUAUAACUUCCCCGAACAAAUGUACCAGCAUAAAUAUCCUGCACCUGGAGCUCCACAAUUGGCAAGAAGGGUGAAGGAACUGCUCAUAAAAUCUGGUUUCAGCCGUGUUGAUGAAGAUACAAAGCCAGGACUUGACCAUGGUGCUAGGGUUCCUCUCUUUUUGAUGUAUCCAGAAGCUGACAUCCCUGUUUGUCAGCUAUCUGUUCAAUCUCAGCAAGAUGGAACUUACCAUUAUAACUUUGGAAAGGCAUUGGCACCUCUUAAAGAUGAAAGUGUUUUGAUUAUUGGUUCUGGAAGUGCUAUCCUGCACCUGGAGCUCCCUGGGCUUUAGAAUUUUAUAAUUGGUUGAAAGAUGCUCUUCUUGAAGGAAGAUAUGAAGAUGUAAAUCAUUAUGAACACAAAGGCUCAUCCCUGGCCGGAUCACUUUUAUCCUCUGCAUGUUGCAAUUGGUGCUGCUGGUGAAAAUGCAAAGGUCAAACUUAUACACAGCAGCAUUGAUCUGGGAACUCUCUCUUAUGCAUCUUACCAGUUUACAUCAGCUGCCAGCUGAACCACUAAACAGUUAUUCAAUUGAAGCUGUGUUGCUUUCAUGUUUAGACUUCUGAGAUGUAUUGUGAAUAAUUGAUUUAUAAUAAAUUAAUUGCUGUUGAUAAAAGAAAUUUAUUUUGAUGA